UGUAAAGUCCAGGGGAGGGGGGCACUUUUGAUCCCAUUAAUCACACAAAUUUUGCAUCGCAGUGUGAGAUGCAGGUGAGUGCUGCAGGCCUGGAGUAGGGGAGUGUCUCCGUCAGAGAAACCACGGAAGGCUUCCCAUAGGAAGCAGCACUGGAGCUUUGAGGAAAAGUGGGGAGUAACCAGGGAGCCUCUUCAGAGUCCAAGUAACUCUUCAGGAUGACCCGGUCACAAAAGACUACACCCAAAGAAAAGUUGGCUGCGUUCCCAGCCAGCUGAACUGCCUCCUCUUCAUCUGCACUCCUGCCUCCCCGACCUUUGUUUAGGCUAUUCCCCCGCCCAGAAUGCCUUUCCAGGACAGAGCUUCACCAACCUUAGUUCUGACUUUCUGAGCCACAGGGAACCACAGUUGGAAGAACCACAGAGAGGCCUCCUCCAGGGACACCACCUGAGCCUCAGCACUUUGUAGCUGCCUCUUCAUCUCAGGCCAGCGUGAGCCGGGGUGAGGGUUCCAGCCCCCUUGGAGCGCCCAGCGUCAACCCCGCGUGCCGGACAGGCUCCGGAAGUGUGCUAGAAGGCAGGGUCGAUAUUGCCAGCUUUGGGGGGAUAGUCGAUAAUGACUGAAAAAAAUGGCACCAACACUCAUCCAGUGGCCCAGCUCCUGUAACAGCCCCCGGGCCAGCCACGGUCAGGCCAGCAUGAGGCUGCAGCACGGCCACUUCUCAGCAAUUCUCAAUCCCCCACUCCUUCUCCACUGCGACAGGACCAGCAGCGUCCCAGCUCCCCUGCCUGCCUAUGGCAACUUGGCUCUAAUCCCCUCCUCUCUGCACUCAGGAGCACAGUAAAAUGCCAGUCUGAACACACUUAAAAAUAAAUAACAUUGCC
Molecule: non-coding RNA, 881 nt
Organism: Macaca mulatta (Rhesus monkey)
Lineage: Eukaryota; Metazoa; Chordata; Mammalia; Primates; Cercopithecidae
Source: RefSeq, a predicted model, not a curated record